UGGGACGUAGCCAAGUGGUAAGGCAGCGGAUUUUGAUUCCGCCAUGCGGAGGUUCGAAUCCUCCCGUCCCAGCCA
This 75-nucleotide transfer RNA is filed under the name Oecophyllibacter saccharovorans. RNAcentral describes it as "tRNA-Gln". It matches the Rfam family "tRNA". From Rfam's summary of the family: Transfer RNA (tRNA) molecules are approximately 80 nucleotides in length. Their secondary structure includes four short double-helical elements and three loops (D, anti-codon, and T loops). Further hydrogen bonds mediate the characteristic L-shaped molecular structure. tRNAs have two regions of fundamental functional importance: the anti-codon, which is responsible for specific mRNA codon recognition, and the 3' end, to which the tRNAs corresponding amino acid is attached (by aminoacyl-tRNA synthetases). tRNAs cope with the degeneracy of the genetic code in two manners: having more than one tRNA (with a specific anti-codon) for a particular amino acid; and 'wobble' base-pairing, i.e. permitting non-standard base-pairing at the 3rd anti-codon position. Lineage: Bacteria; Pseudomonadati; Pseudomonadota; Alphaproteobacteria; Acetobacterales; Acetobacteraceae. The record is from RNAcentral.